This 96-nucleotide transfer RNA is filed under the name Ipomoea nil (Japanese morning glory). It matches the Rfam family "tRNA". From Rfam's summary of the family: Transfer RNA (tRNA) molecules are approximately 80 nucleotides in length. Their secondary structure includes four short double-helical elements and three loops (D, anti-codon, and T loops). Lineage: Eukaryota; Viridiplantae; Streptophyta; Magnoliopsida; Solanales; Convolvulaceae. The record is from Rfam by way of RNAcentral.
CCGACCUUAGCUCAGUUGGUAGAGCGGAGGACUGUAGUUGGAGUAAUAAUCUGAGCUGAUAUCCUUAGGUCGCUGGUUCGAAUCCGGCAGGUCGGA